Non-coding RNA from Salvia hispanica, 1072 nucleotides. The record is from RefSeq and is a predicted model, not a curated record. NCBI's taxonomy places the organism in Eukaryota, Viridiplantae, Streptophyta, Magnoliopsida, Lamiales, Lamiaceae.
CUACUCUCUUUCGUUACAUAAUAUAAUUGUUUGAAGCUUGGGCAGUAGCCAUGUGAUGUUGGAGCUCUUGAUUAAAGUGUUUUAAAGUUGAUUUUGGAGGGAGCAUUAGCUCCCUGGAAUGAGCUUGAUCUUUGUUCAUCUUGUUAUGUUAAGUGUCGCUUCUAUGAUUCCAAGAGUUGGAGCUUUACUAAUCUGAAAUUACCCUAUGUGUUUGGCUAAGAAUGUUGAUCCCUUGAUUAUUAAAGCUUGCUACUUGUGUGAGGCUGAAAUUAGUGUAAUUACACUUGUGCCACUAAGUUCUUGUACUAUGUUGUGAUUGUUCUAAACAUGAUGCAAGAUAAUGUGUUGGGGUGUGGGGGUGUUUACCUCUCGGUCUCACGGCUGCUUUGAGAAACUCUGCCUCUGGCCUCAGUUUUUCUCCCUCUCACACUUGCUACUGCUUGUUCUUGGUUCUCCCUAGAGUUUUGCUGAAUUUUUUGAUGUGUAGGAGGGUGUUCAAGGUGAUGUGGAGUUGUUUAUAGGCGAAGUGUGGUGUACUCGUGAGGCCUUAAAUGGUUGUUGUACCAUUUGUUGUUAUGCUGCAGUAAAUCUCACUUUUAGUGAUCACACUGCCUCUCCUUCAUGGCUGCAACUUGGUAUUUUAUGGGUACCUAGUACUAGUUAGUAAUUGGAAUUGUUUGAUUGUGCAGAGAAGCAGGUGGCUGUUGUGCCAAAGGUGCUGCAGGGCUGACUUGCCUCUUAUGGUGAUUCUUUGGUCAUCUAUAACUAAAGAAAAGUUGUCUCCAUCCCUAUGGUCGAGAAAAGCUUGGUUGCCAAGCUGCUGUCCAGGACAGCUUGAUACCCUGGCCCCAACGGCUGAUCGGAAAACGGGCCGCAACUUUCGGCUCGGAAGAAGAGACCCGAUGCCAUUUGUUCCAUGCACAUUUUAUCUUUCCCUUUCUUUGUUUCCUUUAUUGGAAGCCUUGUUCUAAGUAUUGUAGUAUUUUGAAAAUUAGUUGUUCGUUUAUUGUAUAAGAAUUGCUAUUCGAAAAUUCAUGACAUUCUACAAUGUAAAUUCCAAUUGUUUAGUUCA